UUCAAAACUCAGCUUGGAACCACACCUUUUCAUUUUCUCUAUGGUAAAGCUUGUCAUCUUCGAGUGGAAUUAGAGCACAAAGCAGCUUGGGCAGUUAAGAUGAUGAAUU
Molecule: small RNA, 109 nt
Filed under: Arabidopsis thaliana (thale cress)
Lineage: Eukaryota; Viridiplantae; Streptophyta; Magnoliopsida; Brassicales; Brassicaceae
Description: ATSL159610
Source: RNAcentral